This is a non-coding RNA of Oryctolagus cuniculus (rabbit), 3828 nucleotides long. Lineage: Eukaryota; Metazoa; Chordata; Mammalia; Lagomorpha; Leporidae. The record is from RefSeq and is a predicted model, not a curated record.
AGAACAUUCAAGGAAGAUGGAAAACUGUUUUCUUUUACAUUUUCAGUGUCAUAAUCUAGAUGUGCUUGUUGGGGUCUUAAGCCUGAGGCUGGCCCCUAACCAGCAGGGGACAGUACAAGCACUCCCUGACAAGGCGAAUGGGAGAGGUCAGGUCGACGGGGCAAGCACACCACAGCAAGCACCGGUUUUGAAAAACUCAAACAUCAGUGUGAUGCUUACAACACGCCGACCUGGUGCUGUACCAUGAAGGAUAAAAAGCUACAUUAUAAACAUGUUGCAUCCUCUUGUAUGUAGUGUCAUUUACUCAAUAACAAGAAAUUUGAAUAAUCAUAUCUACGUUAUUCUCAUUCACUUUUUCUUUUUUUUGAAGGUUUUUAUUUAAAGAAUACAAAUUUCAUAUGUACAGCUUUUAGGGAGAUAGUGUUUCUUCCCCCCAUUCCUGCCCUCCCACUCACACUCCCAUCCCACCUCCCACUACCUCUCCUGUUCCAUUUUCCACCAAGAUUCAUUUUUAAUUGACUUUAUAUACAGAAGACCAACUCUUUACUAAGGAGAGAUUUCAACUAUUUGCAGCCACACAGACAUAUAAAGUAUAAAGUACACCCUGAAGACAAGUUUUACCAUUAAUUCUCAUAAUACAACUCAUUAAGGACAGAGGUCCAAGUGCACAGUGAGUCCUGUUGUUCUCAUUCACUUUUAAAAUAAAUCUAGAAUAUUUUUUGAUAGCACAUCUUAGAGCUUUGUUUUAAUUCACCUAUAAUAAUGCUUGAGAAGAAUUAUACUAUUCAAGUUCUCCAUUCUGGCAAACCAUGCCGACUUUCCCUAAUUCUCUUGGUGGUCCCCACUCACCAGUGACAAUCCCUGGCUCUCCUUAGCACGAUGAGUCACCGUACACGAUCUGACUGAAAAAGGUGGCAGGUUCUUUCAGCCCCUCUAGCGUGCCAGAUUCAUGUAAAUAUCUCAGAUCCAUUUGAUAUGACCAUUUCAGAUUAACUACUGAACCAGCAGCUGCCAUUGUAGGGGUGCCAGAUUAUGUCUCCUAAUUAUUACCUUUCCUCCUCUUAAGGGGGUUUACUUCUAAUUCCAGUUUCCAUCUUGCAUGCUGUUUAUUAUUGUCAUGUUUUACUUCUGGAUUAUAGUUCUAUAUUUUAUUAUUCCUUCAUCACUUAUCUUUCAAGGAGAUUUAAAUAUGUGAAUAGGAUGUCAUUUAUGUUUAUAAUUAACAUUUCUGAAGCUCUUUGUGCUUUAUGUAGAUCAAAGAUUCUUUGGAACCAUUUUUCUUUCUCCUGAAGAGUUGUUAAACCAAAUGAACCAGGCCUAGAUGGCGGAAUAGUGAGGGCGCGCACCGAUAGUCCGGGAAAAUUUAGUUUAAUAAAAGGGGAGUUACGGUAGCCGCAGAAAAUAGAACCAAACAAAAAUUGCAGGGGAAACCCUUGUGGAUGGAGCAGGCGUGAAUCGGAGGACCUACUGGGAGAACAAGGUCGCCCACCGCGCGGAAGCCAAGUUGCGGGACCCAGCCGCAGAAGCCCCAGGGUCUGCGCGACAGUGCUCCAAGGGGAGUGCAUGCCACACAGACAACAGCGGGGAGACUUGGGACGCUCAGGGCUCCGAGUCCACACAUCGGCGCUGGAAGGGGAGGUGAGCUCAAUAACCCGAGACAUUGGUGGGGAAACGGGGGUCAGAAUCUAGAGGGGGGCCGGAAAGUGCAGCAAACUCACUACCAGAAAGAAGGAAAAAAAAAAGCUUCGGGGUUUCUCUUCCCCCUAACCUUGCAAAGGUUACAAGGCUGCAAGGCUUGAAGAAUUCCAAAGAGACAAAGAGCAGGCCUCCUCUUUGGAUUUACAUAUCAAUGGGGGAGAGUUAAGGAACUGAGUCACUACAAUUCAGUAGCCUAGGCAACCCAGUGGGAGUCCAGAGGAGCCAAAGACUGGAAGCUAAAUACCAUCAAUUUUGCACAGCCCUGCCCUGCUGUGUUACUUACCCCCUGAAUAAAUAAAAUAAAUAAAUAAAUAAAAAGAGAGAGAUUUACCACGCAUAACCUGAGGGUGUCACCUUUGCACACCCUUAACCAGGAAGAACCAGGCAGAGCUCUCAGGCCGCACCCAUCUCAAGCCUCCAAGGCUCCUCCAACAGCAGGCAGUCCACUUAACACGGACACAGUAUAAAAAAAAAAAAAGAAAAAAAAAACGCACAGUGACGCAAGAAGAAUUAACUAUGCCGAGUAACAAACACAGAAAUAGAGGCAGCAAGAUCAACGAUGACACUAUGAUGCCUCCAAAUAAGCAAAACACCCCAAGCCAAGAGUAUGAAGAUGAUGAGAUAGAAGAAAUGCAAGAUACGGAUUUCAAAAAAUUUAUGAUAAGAACAUUUAGAAGUUUUCAAAAGCAAAUCCUUGAACUACAGAAAUCCUUAAUGGACAAGAUUGAAAAUCUCUCUCGUGAAAAUGAAAUUUUAAGGAAGAGUCAAAAUGAAACUCAGAAACUAGUAGAACAGGAAAGCGUAAUAGUCAAGAGAAAUCAAAAUGAAAUGAAGAGCUCAAUAGAUCAAAUGACAAACACAUUAGAAAGCCUUAAAAACAGAAUGGUUGAAGCAGAAGAGAGAAUAUCGGACUUAGAAGAUAGAGCACAGGAAAACAUACAGUCAAACCAAAGAAAAGAAGAGGAAAUUAGAAAUCUAAAAAAUAUUGUUGGGAAUCUACAGGAUACUAUUAAAAAAACCAACAUUCGGGUUCUAGGAGUUCCUGAAGGCAUGGAGAGAGAGAAAGGAUUGGAAGGCCUUUUUAGUGAGAUACUAGCAGAGAACUUUCCAGGUUUGGAGAAGGACAGAGAUAUCCUAGUACAGGAAGCUCAUAGAACCCCCAAUAAACAUGACCAAAAGAGAUCCUCACCACGACACGUGGUAAUUAAACUUACCACAGUGAAACAUAAAGAAAAGAUCCUAAAAUGUGCAAGAGAGAAACAUCAGAUUACUCUCAGAGGAUCUCCAAUCAGACUCACAGCUGACUUCUCAUCAGAAACCCUACAAGCUAGGAGGGAAUGGCGAGACAUAGCACAGGUGCUAAGAGAGAAAAAUUGCCAGCCCAGAAUAUUAUAUCCUGCAAAGCUCUCAUUUGUGAAUGAAGGUGAAAUAAAGACCUUUCAUAGCAAACAGAAAUUGAAAGACUUUGUGGCCACUCGUCCGGCCCUGCAAAAGAUACUUAAAGAUGUGCUACACUCAGAAAACAGAAACACGGCCAUCAAUAUGAAAGAAGGGAAAGGAAGAACACCUACCAGUAAAAGAGCAUGGGAAGCUCAAAGCAUAUACUAGAAAAUAUUUCCGGGAAAAUGGCAGGGCAAAGUCACUAUGUAUCGAUAGUCACAUUGAACAUUAAUGGUCUGAAUUCUUCAGUUAAAAGACACCGUUUGGCUGACUGGCUCACAGAACACAACCCAACUAUUUGUUGCCUACAAGAAACACAUCUCUCUAACAAAGAGGCAUGCAGACUGAAAGUGAAAGGUUGGAAAAAGAUAUUCCAUGCCAACAGAAACCAAAAAAAAGCAGGUGUAGCCAUAUUAAUAUCAGACAAAAUAAACUUUAAUACAAAAACUGUUAAGAGAGACAAAGAGGGACACUAUAUAAUGAUUAAGGGUUCAAUUCAACAGGAAGAUGUAACUAUUAUAAAUGUAUAUGCACCUAAUUACAGGGCACCGGUCUAUUUAAAAGAUAUGUUAAGGGACUUAAAGGGAGAUUUAGAUUCCAAUACAAUAGUACUGGGGGACUUCAAUACUCCACUCUCAGAAAUAGACAGAUCAUCCGGACAGAAGAUCAACAAGGAAACAGCAGAUUUAA